This is a long non-coding RNA of Mirounga angustirostris (Northern elephant seal), 421 nucleotides long. RefSeq lists it as uncharacterized. NCBI's taxonomy places the organism in Eukaryota, Metazoa, Chordata, Mammalia, Carnivora, Phocidae. The record is from RefSeq and is a predicted model, not a curated record. The transcript has 5 exons.
CUUCAGAUCAUUGAUUUGAGACUUUUCCCCUUCUCUAAUAUCCUCACUCCAAUGGGAUGAAAUGUUCUUAGAAGGAAUUUGCUUUCCAGAUGUGUCUUCAUGGCUGCAUUAUUUGCGUGCUGAUUUGUGAAAUGGCUUACAUGUUAAGAACCUCCUGAAAACAGAAUGAGGAAAUCAGAUAUCCGAGUGACUUCAUCAGAUCCCAGGCUACAGUCACCUUUCCUAAGAGAGGGAAACGGAAAAGGCUCACCCACAGGUUCCGAAGGAUGUUAGGUGGGACAUUUGUGUGAUGUGCCAAGUACGGCCCUGGCGAGUACUGGGCCGCCAUCAUGACAAGCAGAGUGAACCAGUGAACCAAACCGAGAAUGGGCACACAUGGUCAAUGCUACCCCUACUCGACUCUCGCUGCACAGUGUGACCU